This 460-nucleotide ribosomal RNA is filed under the name uncultured bacterium. RNAcentral describes it as "partial 16S ribosomal RNA". It matches the Rfam family "Bacterial small subunit ribosomal RNA", at positions 338 to 795 of the family's 1533-position model. The record is from RNAcentral.
CCUACGGGAGGCAGCAGUGAGGAAUAUUGGUCAAUGGACGCAAGUCUGAACCAGCCAUGCCGCGUGCAGGAAGACGGCUCUAUGAGUUGUAAACUGCUUUUGUACGAGGGUAAACGCAGAUACGCGUAUCUGUCUGAAAGUAUCGUACGAAUAAGGCUCGGCUAACUCCGUGCCAGCAGCCGCGGUAAUACGGAGGAUUCAAGCGUUAUCCGGAUUUAUUGGGUUUAAAGGGUGCGUAGGCGGUCGGAUAAGUUAGAGGUGAAAUCCCGAGGCUCAACUUCGGAAUUGCCUCUGAUACUGUGCGGCUAGAGAGUAGUUGAGGUAGGCGGAAUGUAUGGUGUAGCGGUGAAAUGCUUAGAGAUCAUACAGAACACCGAUUGCGAAGGCAGCUUACCAAGCUACUUCUGACGUUGAGGCACGAAAGCGUGGGGAGCAAACAGGAUUAGAUACCCCUGUAGUC